GGAUCCAGACUUUGAUUAUGGCUCAGGGUGAACGCUAGCUACAGGCUUAACACAUGCAAGUCGAGGGGAAACGAUAGAGAAAGCUUGCUUUUUCUAGGCGUCGACCGGCGCACGGGUGAGUAACGCGUAUCCAACCUGCCCAUCACUUGGGGAUAACCUUGCGAAAGUAAGACUAAUACCCAAUGACGUCUCUAGAAGACAUCUGAAAGAGAUUAAAGAUUUAUCGGUGAUGGAUGGGGAUGCGUCUGAUUGGCUUGUUGGCGGGGUAACGGCCCACCAAGGCGACGAUCAGUAGGGGUUCUGAGAGGAAGGUCCCCCACAUUGGAACUGAGACACGGUCCAAACUCCUACGGGAGGCAGCAGUGAGGAAUAUUGGUCAAUGGACGAGAGUCUGAACCAGCCAAGUAGCGUGCAGGAAGACGGCCCUAUGGGUUGUAAACUGCUUUUAUAAGGGAAUAAAGUGAGUCUCGUGAGACUUUUUGCAUGUACCUUAUGAAUAAGGACCGGCUAAUUCCGUGCCAGCAGCCGCGGUAAUACGGAAGGUCCGGGCGUUAUCCGGAUUUAUUGGGUUUAAAGGGAGCGUAGGCCGGAGAUUAAGCGUGUUGUGAAAUGUAGACGCUCAACGUCUGCACUGCAGCGCGAACUGGUUUCCUUGAGUACGCACAAAGUGGGCGGAAUUCGUGGUGUAGCGGUGAAAUGCUUAGAUAUCACGAAGAACUCCGAUUGCGAAGGCAGCUCACUGGAGCGCAACUGACGCUGAAGCUCGAAAGUGCGGGUAUCGAACAGGAUUAGAUACCCUGGUAGUCCGCACGG
This 813-nucleotide ribosomal RNA is filed under the name uncultured Bacteroidota bacterium. RNAcentral describes it as "bacterial SSU rRNA". It matches the Rfam family "Bacterial small subunit ribosomal RNA", at positions 1 to 802 of the family's 1533-position model. Lineage: Bacteria; Pseudomonadati; Bacteroidota. The record is from RNAcentral.